AACGUUAACUGGUCCCUAUGUGACCUGCAGGUAACGUUAACUGGUCCCUAUGUGACCUGCAGGUAACGUUAACUGGUCCC
Long non-coding RNA from Perca fluviatilis (European perch), 80 nucleotides. RefSeq lists it as uncharacterized. Lineage: Eukaryota; Metazoa; Chordata; Actinopteri; Perciformes; Percidae. The record is from RefSeq and is a predicted model, not a curated record. The transcript is spliced from 3 exons.